RNAcentral lists this transfer RNA (73 nucleotides) under Rhodospirillaceae bacterium. Its description in RNAcentral is "tRNA-Ala". It matches the Rfam family "tRNA". Rfam says of the family: Transfer RNA (tRNA) molecules are approximately 80 nucleotides in length. Their secondary structure includes four short double-helical elements and three loops (D, anti-codon, and T loops). RNAcentral also lists the same sequence under 1 other name. The record is from RNAcentral. Lineage: Bacteria; Pseudomonadati; Pseudomonadota; Alphaproteobacteria; Rhodospirillales; Rhodospirillaceae.
GGGGCAGUAGCUCAGUUGGGAGAGUGCAUCCCUCGCACGGAUGAGGUCACGGGUUCAAAUCCCGUCUGCUCCA